This 821-nucleotide ribosomal RNA is filed under the name Smeringopus cf. similis DNA100446129. RNAcentral's name for it is "eukaryotic LSU rRNA". The stretch from base 535 to 821 matches the Rfam family "Eukaryotic large subunit ribosomal RNA", at positions 665 to 915 of the family's 3401-position model. The record is from RNAcentral. Lineage: Eukaryota; Metazoa; Arthropoda; Arachnida; Araneae; Pholcidae.
UUUGAGAGAGAGUUCAAGAGUACGUGAAACUGCUCAGAGGUAAACAGGUGGGCCCUCGAAAUCCCUUCGCGGGGGGAUUCAGUCGGGAGGGCGAUGGAUGACCGCAGUCGAUGGCUGGGACGCCGAAGCAGCGUCCGGCCGCGGUCAGGGUCCGUCGUUCCGCCCGACGCACUUCCCCCCGCGCCGAGGACGCCGCAGCCCGCUGGGGUCCGGCCAUGAGGACGCGCAGCGGCAGGUGGCGGGUGGCACUCUCCCACCGGAGCUGAGCCGCCCGUUGAUAGCCAGCGCGUCUCUCGAUCGGGCGCGGAACCCGGCGGAGGUAGCAAGACUCCCCCGUCCCGGGGAGCGAGCCGUCUCCUCGCCUAGACGCGAGCGGGCACGGUCUCAGGCGUUGCGUGUCUGAAACCGGCGACUCACCCCCAAGCGGUGACCGUCGGAGCGCGCUCGCCGUUGGAGACCGGCGUCCCGCCACGAGGGUACAGAUGGCUGGCGGCGAGUAGGUCGGUAACCCACCUGACCCGUCUUGAAACACGGACCAAGGAGUCUAACAUGUGCGCGAGUCGGCGGGUCUUGGAUAGGCCCGCAGGCGAAAUGAAAGUGAAGUACCGCCCUAGUCGCAGUAUGCGUUGGGAUCCCCCGAGUCCAAGGASUCGGGGGCGCACCAACGGCACGUCCGGUCCGAUUCAUCGGUCGGGCGUAGCGAGAGCGCACACGUUGGGACCCGAAAGAUGGUGAACUAUGCGUGGGCAGGGUGAAGUCAGGGGAAACCCUGGUGGAAGCCCGCAGCGGUUCUGACGUGCAAAUCGAUCGUCGGAUCCACG